Molecule: ribosomal RNA, 253 nt
Filed under: uncultured bacterium
Lineage: Bacteria
Description: partial 16S ribosomal RNA
Rfam family: Bacterial small subunit ribosomal RNA
Source: RNAcentral
UACGUAGGGAGCAAGCGUUGUCCGGAAUCAUUGGGCGUAAAGCGCGCGUAGGCGGCCUCAUAAGUCCGUUGUGAAAGUCAAAGGCUCAACCUUUGAAGGCCGAUGGAUACUGUGAGGCUAGAGUCCGGAAGAGGCGAGUGGAAUUCCUGGUGUAGCGGUGGAAUGCGCAGAUAUCAGGAGGAACACCAAUAGCGAAGGCAGCUCGCUGGGACGGUACUGACGCUAAGGCGCGAAAGCGUGGGGAGCAAACAGG